Molecule: ribosomal RNA, 505 nt
Filed under: uncultured bacterium
Lineage: Bacteria
Description: partial 16S ribosomal RNA
Rfam family: Bacterial small subunit ribosomal RNA
Source: RNAcentral
GACGAACGCUGGCGGCGUGCCUAAUACAUGCAAGUAGAACGCACAGUUUAUACCGUAGCUUGCUACACCAUAGACUGUGAGUUGCGAACGGGUGAGUAACGCGUAGGUAACCUGCCUGGUAGCGGGGGAUAACUAUUGGACACGAUAGCUAAUACCGCAUAAUAUUGAUUAUUGCAUGAUUAUUGAUUGAAAGAUGCUAUUGCAUCACUACCAUAUGGACCUGCGUUGUAUUAGCUAGUAGGUGAGGUAACGGCUCACCUAGGGGACGAUACAUAUCCAAACUGCGAGGGUGAUUGGCCACACAGGGACUGAGACACAGCCCAGACUCUUACGGGAGGCAGCAGUAGGGAAAAUUAGAAAAUGGAAGAAAGUCUGACCAGGAAACGCCGCGUGAGUGAAGAAGGUGUACGGAUAAUAAAACUCUGUUGUAAGAGAAGAACGGGUGUGAGGGUGGAAAGAUCACUAUGUGAAGGUAUCUUACCAAAAAGGUACGGCUAACUAAGUG